This 204-nucleotide ribosomal RNA is filed under the name uncultured bacterium. Its description in RNAcentral is "partial 16S ribosomal RNA". It matches the Rfam family "Bacterial small subunit ribosomal RNA", at positions 524 to 727 of the family's 1533-position model. The record is from RNAcentral.
UACGGGUAGGUGCAAGCGUUAUCCGGAUUCACUGGGUUUAAAGGGUGCGUAGGAGGGCAGGUAAGUCAGUGGUGAAAUCCUGGGGCUUAACCCCAGACUGCCGUUGAUACUAUCGGUCUUGAAUGUCGUGGAGGUGAGCGGAAUAUGUCAUGUAGCGGUGAAAUGCUUAGAUAUGACAUAGAACACCAAUUGCGAAGGCAGCUU